CUCUUUAUUACAUGUACAAGUGUAACUUAAUUAUGAAUUAAUGAAGGUUGGUAGUUGCAGCUGGUGUAUUGAUUCUGUGGUUAGGAGACAACUGUUGUAGAGAUAGACCUGAUUUCUAUCUCCAGGAUUGCUCCAACAGUGUUGUAAGACUGUGCUGUAGCUAUGGAAGCAUGCAGGCUUAAAGGCUUAAGACUGUUGUAUAGGGGCUGCAUGAUCAUCAAAGUAUCUGAAUGGACUGUAUAGAGAAUGGAACGAAGAUAAUGAGGGUGUGGUUUCAGCAGACGAUAAUGAAUCCAUUCUCAUUCCAUCAUCAAUAGACUCACUAAUCAUUGAGAGCCCAAACUGAUAUCUGUAUUAUAUAUUAUAUUAUUAUUAUUGUUGUUGUUGUUGUUGUUGUUUUGUAUCUUUGUUAGUUGUUAUUUACUGGUUAUUCAUUUUAACAAGUUCUUUGCCUCCUC
Molecule: long non-coding RNA, 458 nt
Organism: Amphimedon queenslandica
Lineage: Eukaryota; Metazoa; Porifera; Demospongiae; Haplosclerida; Niphatidae
Exons: 3
Source: RefSeq, a predicted model, not a curated record